UACGUAGGGGGCGAGCGUUGUUCGGAUUUACUGGGCGUAAAGAGCGCGUAGGUGGUCUGAUAAGUCGGAGGUGAAAUUCCUCGGCUCAACCGAGGGCCCGCGUCCGAUACUGUCGGACUUGAGUGCAGGAGAGGAGAGCGGAAUUCCCAGUGUAGCGGUGAAAUGCGUAGAUAUUGGGAGGAACACCGGUGGCGAAGGCGGCUCUCUGGACUGUUACUGACACUGAGGCGCGAAAGCUAGGGGAGCAAACGGG
This 253-nucleotide ribosomal RNA is filed under the name uncultured bacterium. Its description in RNAcentral is "partial 16S ribosomal RNA". It matches the Rfam family "Bacterial small subunit ribosomal RNA", at positions 524 to 776 of the family's 1533-position model. The record is from RNAcentral.